UGUUAAAAAGCUCGUAGUUGGAUCAAGAGUCGGACAGUGCACGGUGGCCCUGUUUGUCAUAGUGGUUCCGAUCACUGUGACGGCAGCGGAUCAACCCCGUGCGCCAAACUGUCCGCUCUAACAGACCGAAACGGUUCCCUGUGAGUAGGCUCCUUAAUUGGGGCUGAAAGCGCUUACGCAUCAACCAUAUGCAUACGGGACGUCGGUCAAUGUUACUGUGAACAAACCAGCGUGUCCAAAACAGGCUUUCGCCUGAAUGUUCGAGCAUGGAAUAACAAGGGAUCGAUUCUCUCGGUUCUUUUUGUUGGUUUUUAACCCGAGAAGGAGUAAUUCAGUCCACGGUGUCUGAGUUGGGUUUCCCUUCACCUCGGUGGAGGCCCCAAUUAGGCCGUGUACUUACGGGAUAAAUAGGGACUGACGGGGUCGUACGUACUUCCACGUCAGAGGUGAAAUUCUUAGAUCGUGGGAAGACGAACUUCUGCGAAAGCAUUCGACAAGAAUGUCUUCAUUAAUCAAGAACGAGAGUGUGGGGAUCGAAAGAUGAUCAGAUACCGUCGUAGUCCACUACUGUAAACAAUGCCGUCUCAGGAUUGAGAAGUGAACAGAAUGACUUUCACAGCACU
RNAcentral lists this ribosomal RNA (623 nucleotides) under uncultured marine eukaryote. RNAcentral's name for it is "bacterial SSU rRNA". It matches the Rfam family "Eukaryotic small subunit ribosomal RNA", at positions 618 to 1087 of the family's 1831-position model. The record is from RNAcentral.